Molecule: ribosomal RNA, 253 nt
Filed under: uncultured bacterium
Lineage: Bacteria
Description: partial 16S ribosomal RNA
Rfam family: Bacterial small subunit ribosomal RNA
Source: RNAcentral
UACGAAGGGAGCUAGCGUUGUUCGGAAUCACUGGGCGUAAGGCGCACGUGGGCGGAUGUGUCAGUCAGGGGUGAAAUCCCGGAGCUCAACUUCGGAACUGCCUUUGAUACAGCACGUCUUGAGUCCGGAAGAGGUGGGUGGAAUUCCUAGUGUAGAGGUGAAAUUCGUAGAUAUUAGGAAGAACACCGGUGGCGAAGGCGGCCCACUGGUCCGGUACUGACGCUGAGGUGCGAAAGCGUGGGGAGCAAACAGG